GUAGAGCCAGCACCUACAAACUUAAAUACAAGUUUGAUUUGACUAUAUUUAGGGAGGGAAGAGGGGUAAAGGGGCUAGAUCAGUGUUACCCAAACCAGUCCUCAUGGACCACCAACAAUCCAGGUUUUGUCAGUAUAUCUACUGGAAUAAAACAGGGACACACAUAAAUCCUGGACUGUUGGUGGUCCAUGAGGACUGGGUUAGUGAACGCUGUAGAGACAAGAAUACAUGUUUAUAGUGCUCCUUUUAAAUACAAAAGCUGUGAUCAGCUAGCAAACACUUAGUUUAUAGUCUUUAUUAAAC
Pelobates cultripes (western spadefoot toad) is the source of this 303-nucleotide non-coding RNA. The record is from the annotation of a GenBank genome assembly. NCBI's taxonomy places the organism in Eukaryota, Metazoa, Chordata, Amphibia, Anura, Pelobatidae.